CCCUUAGAUGUUCUGGGCCGCACGCGCGCUACACUGAUGCAUGCAACAAGUCUUUUCCUUGGCCGAGAGGCCUGGGCAAUCUUUGAAUAUGCAUCGUGAUGGGGAUAGACGAUUGCAAUUAUUCGUCUUCAACGAGGAAUUCCUAGUAAACGCAAGUCAUCAGCUUGCAUUGAUUACGUCCCUGCCCUUUGUACACACCGCCCGUCGCUGCAACUGAUUGGGUGACCUGGUGAACAUCUUGGACCGGUCCACUCAAUUUCGAGAGGACUGGAAAAGGCCGUAAAUCAGGUACAUCUAGAAAUUGCAAAAGUCGUAACA
Molecule: ribosomal RNA, 318 nt
Filed under: uncultured eukaryote
Lineage: Eukaryota
Description: partial 18S ribosomal RNA
Rfam family: Eukaryotic small subunit ribosomal RNA
Source: RNAcentral